This is a long non-coding RNA of Triticum aestivum (bread wheat), 1124 nucleotides long. RefSeq lists it as uncharacterized. The transcript has 4 exons. Lineage: Eukaryota; Viridiplantae; Streptophyta; Magnoliopsida; Poales; Poaceae. The record is from RefSeq and is a predicted model, not a curated record.
CAGGCGGCCGCUCGUAGGACGUCUAGAGAGCAGUCCGUGACAGAUGGGAUUGGGGGAAGCGGUGUUAAGUCUCACACUUUUUUUAUCCAUUUUGCAUCGCUACGGUUGUACCAUUCAUCCCUUUUCCCAUUCUUGCUCUCCUCCCAUUCCUUUUUCUCUGUUCCUUCCCUGAUCUAGGGAUUCAUCCACAAUUCGUUGCUAGAUCCUGCCAAGGAAGGAGGACGGGGUGAGAAGAGGUAUUUAAGGCGGAGUGUGGUGGUUGAAGGCUCUCGGCGGCGGCAUGUCCUCCAGCUCGACCGCACGUGCCUACUCCUCGCUGCCGCCGUCAAUUGGAUGGCCUCAUGGCCGUGGAGUUCGACCUCCUUGAACCUCUGUGGUGGCUCUCCUCCAGAGAGUCCAUAGGUGGAGGCAAGUUGUGGGCUUCCUAGUUGCUACUGCUGCCAGCUUCCACCUAUGUAAUGUGCUUCAACUCUGCAUGAUUCCUACUUCCCGCACACCGACUGAUGUUCACAGGUCUAAGAGUAUCGUUUUCGUCAAGAAGUGGUGAUAUCAUAUCUUAGAAGAAGUACCUCAUUCCAGUGAGAGGCAGCUCAGAAGAUCUGUCCUGACUUCAUCGGGCGUCAAGUUGCAGUCACAGUUUUGGCUAUUUUUGAUGUUUGUCUCGCAUCCUAGAACCGGCAGUCUUCAAUUUUGCUGGUGGUGCUCUGGCCGGGUAGCAGAUUUCUGAAGACUUCGAUUUUGUUGGUGGUGCUCAGGUUGGGUAGCAGAUUUGCAGACUUCGAUUUUGUGCUCUAUUCAGGUAGCAGAUUUGUUCUGCAGUCUUUGGUUUUGUUGGUGGUGCUCUGGCCGGGUAGCAGAUUUCUGAAGACGACUUCAAUUUCGUUGGUGGUGCUCAGGUUGGGUAGCAGUUUUGCAGACUUUGGUUUUAUCCAGAACUGGAAUUUAGAAUCUUGGGCGUGUGUUGGAUGUGGCCAGCGGGGUGCCCUAUAUUAUGUUGUCUUGGUCGACUCAAUGUCUGGGUUUCUUUUUAUCAAGACUUAUGGAGUUCUAUGAGUCCGAUUAGAAUUAUCCCUGUCUCUCCUUUUUUGGCAUGUACGUGCCCGAUUUGGAAUAAGUGCACGUCA